This 1425-nucleotide ribosomal RNA is filed under the name Staphylococcus aureus. RNAcentral describes it as "bacterial LSU rRNA". It matches the Rfam family "Bacterial large subunit ribosomal RNA", at positions 1498 to 2925 of the family's 2925-position model. Lineage: Bacteria; Bacillati; Bacillota; Bacilli; Caryophanales; Staphylococcaceae. The record is from RNAcentral.
AUUGGAUUGCACGUCUAAGCAGUAAGGCUGAGUAUUAGGCAAAUCCGGUACUCGUUAAGGCUGAGCUGUGAUGGGGAGAAGACAUUGUGUCUUCGAGUCGUUGAUUUCACACUGCCGAGAAAAGCCUCUAGAUAGAAAAUAGGUGCCCGUACCGCAAACCGACACAGGUAGUCAAGAUGAGAAUUCUAAGGUGAGCGAGCGAACUCUCGUUAAGGAACUCGGCAAAAUGACCCCGUAACUUCGGGAGAAGGGGUGCUCUUUAGGGUUAACGCCCAGAAGAGCCGCAGUGAAUAGGCCCAAGCGACUGUUUAUCAAAAACACAGGUCUCUGCUAAACCGUAAGGUGAUGUAUAGGGGCUGACGCCUGCCCGGUGCUGGAAGGUUAAGAGGAGUGGUUAGCUUCUGCGAAGCUACGAAUCGAAGCCCCAGUAAACGGCGGCCGUAACUAUAACGGUCCUAAGGUAGCGAAAUUCCUUGUCGGGUAAGUUCCGACCCGCACGAAAGGCGUAACGAUUUGGGCACUGUCUCAACGAGAGACUCGGUGAAAUCAUAGUACCUGUGAAGAUGCAGGUUACCCGCGACAGGACGGAAAGACCCCGUGGAGCUUUACUGUAGCCUGAUAUUGAAAUUCGGCACAGCUUGUACAGGAUAGGUAGGAGCCUUUGAAACGUGAGCGCUAGCUUACGUGGAGGCGCUGGUGGGAUACUACCCUAGCUGUGUUGGCUUUCUAACCCGCACCACUUAUCGUGGUGGGAGACAGUGUCAGGCGGGCAGUUUGACUGGGGCGGUCGCCUCCUAAAAGGUAACGGAGGCGCUCAAAGGUUCCCUCAGAAUGGUUGGAAAUCAUUCAUAGAGUGUAAAGGCAUAAGGGAGCUUGACUGCGAGACCUACAAGUCGAGCAGGGUCGAAAGACGGACUUAGUGAUCCGGUGGUUCCGCAUGGAAGGGCCAUCGCUCAACGGAUAAAAGCUACCCCGGGGAUAACAGGCUUAUCUCCCCCAAGAGUUCACAUCGACGGGGAGGUUUGGCACCUCGAUGUCGGCUCAUCGCAUCCUGGGGCUGUAGUCGGUCCCAAGGGUUGGGCUGUUCGCCCAUUAAAGCGGUACGCGAGCUGGGUUCAGAACGUCGUGAGACAGUUCGGUCCCUAUCCGUCGUGGGCGUAGGAAAUUUGAGAGGAGCUGUCCUUAGUACGAGAGGACCGGGAUGGACAUACCUCUGGUGUACCAGUUGUCGUGCCAACGGCAUAGCUGGGUAGCUAUGUGUGGACGGGAUAAGUGCUGAAAGCAUCUAAGCAUGAAGCCCCCCUCAAGAUGAGAUUUCCCAACUUCGGUUAUAAGAUCCCUCAAAGAUGAUGAGGUUAAUAGGUUCGAGGUGGAAGCAUGGUGACAUGUGGAGCUGACGAAUACUAAUCGAUCGAAGACUUAAUC